GCAUGUUUAGCUUUCCAAGCAUCUCCUGACUGUGAGCAGGGGAAUUAUGAGUGAAUGUUUUAACACCCAUUUUUUCACCUUUCUGCCAGCGUUCUUUCCACAUAUGAGAGAUCACGGGUAGCCUGCGGUCGCUGGGCCCGGCGGGCGCGGGAGGCCGAGCCCCCUAUCUCGGCGCUGGCCGGGCCAUGGCGGAGGGAGGCGGAGGAGGAGCAGAGGCCGCUGCCGCCGCCGCCACCACCGCCGCCGCCACCGCCGCCGCCUCCCCCUCAGGCGCGGAGCUGGCGGGGCGCUGAGGCGGGGGGAGAGCAGCCCCGCGUGCGCGGCCGUUGGCGGCGGGGGCGGCGCGCAGCAGCUUGGCGGGAAGGGGAAAGGGGAGGGGCGGGGGCCGCGGGAGGGCUCCGACAGUCCGAGCUCCCGCGCGCCGCGCCGCCCGGCCGGGCACUUUGUUUGUGUCCCACAGUGCAGCGCGGCGCGGGGGGGCGGGGCCAAAGGGAGGGCGGGGCCGAGGGUUUGCGCGUGCGCAGUGAGCGCGGUUGGGGGGGCGCGGCGGGAGUGGAGCUCCGGAGGGCGCAGCGGGGCGCCGCGUGAACGUGCGGGGAGCGCAGCGGGCGCCCGGCCGUAUGCACGGGUGGGCCGCGGUUGUGCAUCAGCGGGCAGUAAUGCAUGCGUGCGUGGAUUGGAGCUGUGCACAUGGGACACCGCGGUGGAUGCAUGCAUGCGUGCACGGAGUGGGACCGUGCACCCUCAGGCACGGGUUGCAGCGAGCAGUCAGGCGGUGCGUGCGUGCAUUAAUCGGGAGCAUGCACUAAUCAGGAGCGUGCACACAGAGCACCUCAGUGCAUGCAUGAAGGGACCAAGAAUGUGCAUGCCAGCCACCCCGGUGCAUGCAUGCAUGAAUGAACCAGGACUGUGCAUACGUUCCCCUCCCGGCACUGUGCACUCUGCACACCCCAGUGCAUGGUGCAUGCACAUCCAGGCUUGUGCACACUGCAUGAGUGCAUGCAAACCAUGCACAGUGCAUGCCAUGGUGCAUGCACCCCCGGGCCCUCAUCCCAGUGGAUGCACUGCACACAAAUUGCAACCCAAAAUUUGUUUGAAAAGUGCCUCCUGAAAAGCAGCGCAGUGCUCCCAGCUCCCAACCUCCCUGCACUGCAACAGAACCCCUGUGGCCGUUUUUGACUGUUGCUUGCAAAACCAGAGGGAGAACAGAACCCCAGUGGGCUGCAAGAUUGCGCUCACUGCUGCUUAAAUUUCUCCUUUUCCUUCCCCUGGCUUUGCAUUCGCAUGGAGCUGCAUGGUAAGCCUGGUGCAUUGCUCUCUGCAGAUUGCUUUGGUGAAAAGCUGGAGUGAAAUGGCAUCAACUGAAAUUGUGUGAGUGCGCAUGCAAAGGUUGCUCUCACUUUUUUCAGCUGACAAAUAAGGGGUAAUUUGCAAGGCGAGGAAGAACGCUCGCCCUCCAAAUUCUGCUCCAAAAAGCGCACAGCCGGGGGUGUAUCAUGUUUGCAAAUGGAGCGAUGGAAAACGUUACAGCCUUAAAGCGCUCUGCAAGAGCAGCUCCUGCAGAGCUCAGCCAUCCGGCACGGCUUCCUUUGGGGCAGCGCUGCUCUUCCUGCUGCUGAAGCCUUUCGGAUUGGGAACAUCUGACUUCAGGAGCGUGCAAGUCCAGCUCGGAGUGCACGCACAGGAACUGUCCCACCAGGAAGCCACCAGCAUGCUGAUUGCUACCGCUGCAAAAAAAAAUGUGCUGCUGGCUCAGCUUUGCUCGCUGCUUCCGCCUGUUUUGCAGCAGGAGGUCCCAGAGCGCAGUGCUGGGGGCCCUGGGCAGGAUGCAGCGGUGUCCAUCGGUGUGACACGUCCCAGGGCGCUGUAUUGCUGCCCAUCCUUUAGCACCUUAAAAACAAAUUCACCCUUUGUUUUGCUGCUGGGAAGGGAACUAGAAAACAGCCCGAGAAAAGCGUUAAUAAAAGCCAAGAGGAGAUAGGCAGGAAACCCUUUAUUGAAGAGGUAAAGGCAGAGUCACAACCAGAGUUGCCCUCAAACUCAAACACAAAGAUAAAUUCAGAAAAUGAUACUUUUUUUCCCCUUGCAAUGGAUGUCCCGAGCUCGGUUGUGCCGGAUCCGUUCUGCAGCUGAUGGGAUCUGUGCACCCCAAGGGUGACACUGGGUGCUGUCGGGGCCAUGCGAGGAGUGAUGCUUUGGUGGAGGGACGUGGGAGCAGCACGGUCAAACUGUUCAACACAGACAGUCCGGUUUUUUUGUCUCAUGUUUCUCUCCUUUUCAGACAGCUACUGUACAAAACAAACCAGGAAUCUGUAAUAAAUACACAAAAGGCUCAGUACACUGCUACAAUCCUUCACUGAAGGGAAACAUAUAUACACAUAUAUAUCCUAAUAUAUAACCUCUUUGAUAAAUCAGCAUAAAGGCUAUGUGUUGCUAUGGGAAGGCACGAGCAGACCCCAUGUCCCCAGGCAGGACCCACCAGCCCCCCAAAAAGCCCCAGAAGGCCGAAACUGAGCAAUAUUUCUGCAAGGAGC
This 2534-nucleotide long non-coding RNA is filed under the name Gallus gallus (chicken). Lineage: Eukaryota; Metazoa; Chordata; Aves; Galliformes; Phasianidae. The record is from RNAcentral.